Dermacentor andersoni is the source of this 999-nucleotide long non-coding RNA. RefSeq lists it as uncharacterized. The record is from RefSeq and is a predicted model, not a curated record. Lineage: Eukaryota; Metazoa; Arthropoda; Arachnida; Ixodida; Ixodidae.
GCAGCGUCGGCGCAAGAUACAAGCGGCGCGUCAAGCGCGCAAAAGCGGGGAGAGAGCGGCAUUUCCCCUCAGCCGCUUUGCGAGCCUCGCCGGUGGAGGGCGCACACCAACCGCGAGGCUCUGCCGGGCGUCGUGCCACCACGCAGAGGUUUGGACUGGCGGUCUUUUGCAGCCAAACAUAAGCGGAAAGAAACAUGUCCAAGCCACAGUCAUAUGCCUCACGUGCCUCGGGGUGGAUCGACCGUCGGGGAAGAAAGGCAGCCAGCCCAUUCCAGGUCGCCUUCGAUCGACCGCUGUGGAACAUGUGUUCUGUAGUCUUCGUCUCUUUGUGCCUGUUGUUGUCGUUUAUUAAUCGUGGGUAAAUUGGAAGGUAUGCGCCACAUUAGACCGCUUUUUUGUUGCGUCACGAAGAACGUACAGCCCGUGUGUACGAGCGCACUCUUCCGCAAGAGUAACUAUUUACAAAGUUGGAUAUUCAGAGGCGCUAUAACGUAAAUCUAUUCCAAACUUUUCUAUUCCAGUUCCAUGCAAUAAGCUCUCCACGAUCGGUAAAAAAAAUUCGCACCACCCCCACUUCACCGGUCUGUCACGCGAAGUCACAGAAACCGCGAAAACGCCCCAUUUGAUAUAAUAUGUGCACACUGAUUAUACGUGAUUAGACCAAAUGAAAGAAAAAUAAAUAUUUGAGUCGACGUCUUUGCGCCUUUAGCCCUCUGCUAUUGGUCAAGGGUUUUCGAGCUGCGCUCACUUCGCCUGUCUGUCACGAGACGUCAUAAAAACGCAAGAACUCACGUGGUCAGACUGACGUGCACCCGUUAAAGAUGCAUUAAUAUGCCGAACAAAACUGUGUUUUUUUUCUGAAUAGCCGGGCAGUGCCCGGUUCCGAAAGGAAUAGAUGAUGGCUGCCCACCGAUCGCUCUGGCCCUUGCAAGUCGGAGCUGUCGGGGAGCAUGGAUUUAUUUGUGUAUAAUAAAAAUCUUGCGUGGCAGUGUAACGUUA